AUGUGGGGGCGCGUCAGCGCACCCACUGGGUGUAGUCCCCGAGAUUCGGGCCGACUGCUGAGCAGUCGGGUCGGAUCUUCCUUAACGACUUCCUCUUACUGUUCUUUCUUUUUCUGCCGUCUCUGCAGCGGCCAACGCCAGUCUGAGGGCACAGCUGGGGGAGUCUCAGACUGCCCUUCGUGCCAAGGAUGCCGAGCUCGCCGCCUUGGUGCAGGAACGCGACCGCCUGGCCAAGAAGUUGGCCGACCAGGAGGAAGGCCACAAGGCGGCUCUGAAGGCGGUGCAGGACCGCGAAGCCGCCCUCCAGGCCGAGUACAAGACGGAGGCGGCUGGCUGGGCUGA
This 342-nucleotide ribosomal RNA is filed under the name Triticum aestivum (bread wheat). RNAcentral's name for it is "partial small subunit ribosomal RNA". The record is from RNAcentral. Lineage: Eukaryota; Viridiplantae; Streptophyta; Magnoliopsida; Poales; Poaceae.